This 462-nucleotide ribosomal RNA is filed under the name uncultured bacterium. RNAcentral's name for it is "bacterial SSU rRNA". It matches the Rfam family "Bacterial small subunit ribosomal RNA", at positions 343 to 797 of the family's 1533-position model. The record is from RNAcentral.
GGGAGGCAGCAGUGAGGAAUUUUGCGCAAUGGGCUAACGCCUGACGCAGCAACGCCGCGUGGAGGAUGAAGGUCUUUGGAUUGUAAACUCCUGUCAGCAGGGAAAAAGCGAAUCGGCCUAACACGCCGGUGAGUUGAUUGUACCUGCAGAGGAAGCCCCGGCUAACUCUGUGCCAGCAGCCGCGGUAAUACAGAGGGGGCAAGCGUUAUUCGGAAUUAUUGGGCGUAAAGGGCGCGUAGGCGGCUUGGCAAGUGGAUGGUGAAAUCCCUCGGCUUAACCGAGGAACUGCCAUCCAGACUGCUUUGCUUGAGGCCGGGAGAGGCGAGUGGAAUUCCCAGUGUAGCGGUGAAAUGCGUAGAUAUUGGGAGGAACACCAGUGGCGAAGGCGGCUCGCUGGACCGGUUCUGACGCUGAGGCGCGAAAGCGUGGGGAGCAAACGGGAUUAGAAACCCGAGUAGUCCU